AGCAGCCGCGGUAAUUCCAGCUCCAAUAACGUAUAUUAAAGUUGUUGCAGUUAAAAAGCUCGUAGUUGAAUUUCGGGGGUCAGUAGGUUGGUCAUGCCUCCGGUAUGUACUGGUCUCACUGAUUCCUCCUUCCUGAUGAGCCGUAAUGCCAUUAAUUUGGUGUUGCGGGGAAUCUGGACUGUUACUUUGAAAAAAUUAGAGUGUUUAAAGCAAGCUAACGCUUGAAUACAUUAGCAUGGAAUAAUGGAAUAGGACGUUCGAUCCUAUUUUGUUGGUUUCUAGGAUUGACGUAAUGAUUAAUAGGGAUAGUUGGGGGCAUUAGUAUUCAAUUGUCAGAGGUGAAAUUCUUGGAUUUUAUUGAAGACUAACUACUGCGAAAGCAUUUGCCAAGGAUGUUUUCAUUAAUCAAGAACGAAAGUUAGGGGAUCGAAGACGAUCAGAUACCGUCGUAGUCUUAACCAUAAACUAUGCCGACUAGGGAUCGGAUGAUGUUAAUUUUUAAUGACUCAUUCGGCGCCUU
RNAcentral lists this ribosomal RNA (520 nucleotides) under uncultured Glomus. RNAcentral describes it as "SSU rRNA". It matches the Rfam family "Eukaryotic small subunit ribosomal RNA", at positions 569 to 1089 of the family's 1831-position model. The record is from RNAcentral. Lineage: Eukaryota; Fungi; Glomeromycota; Glomeromycetes; Glomerales; Glomeraceae.